Gavialis gangeticus (Gharial) is the source of this 4898-nucleotide long non-coding RNA. RefSeq lists it as uncharacterized. The record is from RefSeq and is a predicted model, not a curated record. Lineage: Eukaryota; Metazoa; Chordata; Crocodylia; Gavialidae. The transcript is spliced from 4 exons.
UAUGAUGUGUACUGUACCUUGCAUGUGGAAAGCAGCAAAUGAAAAGCAUCAGGAAACCACACUGCACUAAAUACUCCCGACUCAGAGUGAUUAGUUCAAGGUCAUGCUGCUGAGUCAUUUUAUAAGAAUGUGUCAAUUUUAAAACUUCAGGCCAAGAGAUCCUUGGAAUACACACACCAAACCCUGGCAGUCAGUGAAACAUUAACAGUUCAUGGAGCUGCCUUUCACAAACCUAGAAGUAGCUUUCAUCUUGUUGGCUUUUGUCAUUUUCUCCUUGUUUUCCCUGGCUUCCAUCUACAGUGACCCUCAUGACCAUAACGCAGGGUUGGAUGAAAUGAGCAUCCUUGAAAUCUUGUGGAACAGUUUCUUCCUUGCAAAAGAGUAGCAGUACCUCAUGCAAUCUUUGCAGCAAGCCUUUGUUUGCACAUUUGUAUAUUUCAGCGGACACAGAACACUGCUCACAGGAAGAAAAGAGGAAAAGGAGAAAGGUGGACAAGAGAAAAAAUCAUGCAAGUGUGACUGAAGUGAUUUAGGAUGAGAAGUACUUUUCACACCAGUUGCUAGAUACACAGCUGAUAAAGGUUGAUGUGGAAGCUGGUCACCUGGCAGUGGUGAAAUGAAGGAUGUGACAGAAAGGAAGGAGCUGCUCAUUGAUCAGAUGGAAUCCAGACAUGACAGUAACAGUUAAUGAACCAUGUCCUAUGAAGCAGCUUCAGCACCUUUUUACAACCCCACUUCUCAGCCUUAAUAAAAGUAUCAGAGCCUUUAAAGGAGCACAUCUGCUCCAGUAACUGAUGGCAGAAAACUUUAACUGCAGGAGUUACAGUUUGGUCCUUCGCAGGAUUUCACUCUCUGUACCUAUUAUGCUUAGAGAAUAUUUCAUAAUAAUGUGUUAGUUGUUAUGUCCAUAAUAGCCACAGAAAGAGCAGGAUAAUAACAUUUCUGUAAUGAAGCUUUGUACAGCAUCACUGCAGAAAUUAGAUAUUUAAUUUAUGUUAAUUAUAAGAAAGAACUGAAGCUGACUGAAAAGGAAUAGGAAAAUCAUUUUCCAAAACUUCUCAUUAGUUCAGUGGCAACUUUAAAUAAGUAUUUUUUUUUGACUUCUAACAACUGGCAAGUUUAAAUCUGACCCCUGAAAAGCUGAGUAGCUGAUUGGUUGCUUGUGAAAGAUGCUCAUCUGACAGGCCUUGAGUAUGAACUCUUCAUUUAUCCAUAGAGCAUGUGUAACUUGAUGCAACAAUGUAGCUACUCACUUACUAAGAUAACUUGCUAAUGUGGGUCAUAACCCUGCACUGGAAAGACCAUCUCUGGCAGGGCAGGUUGGCCUUAUGCUGAGAUUGUCAAUAAGAUAGCCAGAUAUGUCAACUGUUACAGCACAAACUGGAAUGCACACAUUGGCCAAUAAAGAACAUUUUUACAUCAAUAUCUUCUGAUCACUAUCAACCAGGUUAAUAGGUACAUAAUUCUUUAUUAUGUUACUAAUUCCCUCAGCUGCACAGUAAUAUACUUCAACUCUAAUAUGUUACAAACUGAAUUCACAUCCAGUAAAAGGAAGUUCUAAUUUACACAUGCAGAGUUGAAGUUAUAGGUAUCCAGCCUUUUAUCAACUGUUCACAUCUUUAAAUAUAUUACAGUAUCCAACACAAAGUUAUGAGGACACUGGAUUCACUGCAUCCCUGAAUUUAAAUUAUUACAUAAGCCUAAACAGUAUCUAAGCAUAAUACUGUCAAUGUCUUCCAAGGAAGUGAGGGGAAUAGCUUAUUCCUGUCAAAUGACUGAGGUUGUCCCAAAUUCCUGCUUUAGCUCCUGACCUUCUUCUCACCACUUCUUUCUAGCUGAAGGGAACUGGACAGGUUCCUUUCAAAAUCUGUUAAUGUUAUUCUUUGACCCUUAGACCAUGAAUAUCAAGCAUAUAGCUUGGGGGCUGGAUCUGGCCUGCCAGGUUACUGGUUGACCAGGGAAUUUGGGUGCAGGGCUAGCAGGAUGUGGGGCCUGUGGCAGAAUCUGGGACCUUGGGGCCCUGUUGGACUCAUCAGCAGCUGGGUGAGUAAGGGCUGUCAACACAGUCCCACUUAAACUUUCAGCUACCUGGCCCACAACUACUGCUGCUUUUGCCACCUCUGCUGUAGCAACUAGCUACUUGGCCUGCAACCUCUUACCACACCACCAGAGCUACCGCUUGCUCUGCCGCUGGCUUUACCACCUACCCUCUUGUCUAGCUAUGGUCCGGGGCAUAAGGUAAGUUUGACACCCCUGCUUUCACGUAUAAUCAUCCCUGUCUUUAAUGAGGGACUGGAGGUAAGGGAAAAUGACUAGCUCUUCCCUGCCACAUCUAUCCUUUCCCUCCACCUCCCUCCGGAGGCCUCUCUUAGUUUUCGUGUCAACUAGCAUUGUUUUAUGCUUUCCUCCCAAGCCAUCCUAGAAAGCCACAGCCUUAUCACUUGUUGCCUCCACUAGCUGCAUACUGGUUUCUCCUCAGCAUUAGCUUGAUCUCCUGAUGUGACCAGACUCUCCCCUCCCACCUUGUUGGUUCCCCUUUAAUGGGGGUCAAGAAUCAGUAAGAGGAGAGACAGAAGGAUAGACUUUCCAAGAAACCCUGCCUGCCCUGUCUCUUCUCAGCCCAGCAGCAUUGCUGAAACUCAAAGAGAAGUGCUACUCCAUGAAACCCCCUAAUCUAAGCAUUAAUCAUUUGGCUUCUAGCCUGGAAAUUGAAAGCCCAAGAUGAGACAUUAACCAAGACUGGAGUUAUACUAUAAAUUUUUGCCUGGUAUAAGAUUAGUUGGGUAUGGUUUUGGUGCAACAUUUCUAUGAUAACAAAAGCUGUAAUGUAAACAAGGCUUAUAUAGGCAUAAAUGUGCUUUUGUCAGCAUAGUUGUUUCAUUCAGUAUCUCGUGCAAAUGGUAUCUGAAAACAUACUUUUUCUGCUGGUGGGUUUGUCCCUUAAAUGAAGCAUGGCUUUAUGAAGAUUUACGGCCUAGUUUUCAAAGCUUGGAGUAUGGUUUGGCAGCUAUACACUCAUUUUCUGCCCUGGGCCACGUCCAAACGUGCACGGACAUUUGGCUCCCCGGGGACACUGAGCUGCCCCUAGAGCUCCUCCCUUUAAAUUGUUUGGCCUUCCCACUUUAUCCUUCCCCCACCUCCAAGAGAGUCACUUCUACCUUACUUAUAACCAAUAGGGUGAUGAGCCAAUGAAUCAGAAGGGGUGUGCCGCUGCUAAUUGUCCCCAGGAAACGCCCAUACCACAUGCAUUCUGGCACGUGGCAAGUGACCCCAGUAAGGUAGGAAAGUUCAGCAAACUCACUCUGCACAUUUAGCUGCUCCUAGAGCUCCUCCCUUCAAAUUGUUUGAUCUUUCCACUUUACGCUCCUCUCCACCCGCAAGAGAACCACUUCUACCUCACUUAUAACCAACAGCGUGAUGAUGAACCAAUGAAUCAACAGAAACUAUUUAACAGACCAAGGACAAAUCUGCAUAGGAAAAUUAUACCAGCAUUAUCAAGCAUUUGAAUUUAAAUUGAUACUAGUUGAACCACAUCAAACUCCCGAAUGGAUGCCUUACACAGAUGCAAGAGUGGAUCUUUUGGGUUAACUUAAAUUCACAGUGUAUAAGCUAAACCAAAAAAAGGCAUUUUUAUAUGAAAGUAAGUGUCCUCCUAGGGUUUGUUUAGGUGUCAAAACUGAAGUUAAACCAGCACAACUUUCCUGUACAGAUGAGGCCUGGUUGUUCCAAGGAAAUAUAGGUAGAUGUUACUGCAAGGAAUACAACUGCAUCCCAUGUUAUUACCAUAUUAUGUUAAUACUUUCCAGUUAUAAAAGCACCUGGAACAUUAAAAGUGUCAUGCAGUCAUCCACUAAUUAAUCGCCUGAAUAUGAAGAGAUACAGGAAACAAUGAAGCAUACAAUAGUACAGUAAAGAGAAAGUAAAUGUUAUUAAUGAGAUGCAGAUUAAAGUUCUAUGUUCAGUUCUAUUAUUAACCACAGUUCUAAGUUAUUAUGAUGGUAAUCCUUUAUUAUGCUCUUUAAUGAGACAAUAGAGCUUUAACUCUAAUGAGUUCUGAAUUCUCCUCCAUCUGUCUUGUGACAUUAUUAUAUAUUUCUUCUCCAAUUGCCAGUAGCCUCACAGUUAUUUUAUCACACAUGACUAAAUUCAUCCAGCUGCAAAAGGCCUAAAGCAAAGAAUUCCAUACCACACAAAUCACCCAUAAGGAAAUUCUUGUCUUGCCAUUCUACUGAUUUCAGGUAUGAGACUUCAACACCCAUUUGAUACCUCAAAACCCAUUUGUCCAUUCCUAUUGUAUGCAUUAGGGAACUGGCUUUUAUGUUCUGUGAAGAGGCCUCCCCUUCCAAGGUAAAUGUCAACCAUUUUGUGUAAAACAUUCCAAGAAAGUGGCUCCAGAAAAGGAUUACUGUAUUCAAAGCACAAAUGUUUUCCAGGUAAAAGUAUUGCUUUUCAAGAUUUAACAGUUGUUGCUCUUCAAUUCUACCCAAACGACUAAAAUUAACAAUUUCUGCAUAAGCUGGCUUUUUCCCAUUCUUGCUCCUCCAUUGUUCUCUUGCUUAAGUUUAAGUAAUUUAUUAACUGGAAGUGACAGAAAAAGAUAUCAUUAUCUAAGAAAAGUAUAACUAUAAUUAACUAAUUGAGAAAUUAUAUGGAGAAAUUAUAUUGCCUGAUGUAGAAAAUAUGGAAUUGUGAUCAGUACCUAACACACUAAACUAAACUAAUUAUUAUGCACCGUAAUGUAUUUAAAUCCCUUCUAAAAACAUAAUGUAACAGCAAUAUAAAGCACAUAUGUUAAAAUAUGUAUUUAUAAGACACUGAUACAAGAUUUUCCUUCACUCCACUACCUGAAUAUUUGUCUAUAAUGAAAGCUAUUUAAUAAAUUAUGCAAAAAUUUGUCA